AGGAGUGGAGCUUUAAUGGAACCAGAGGAUCUGUUUCAGCUUCGAUCUGGAGCCUGAAAAUCUUCACAGAUGUUUGGAUCUAAAAACAUGUGAAUCUGCUGGAGAUUUGCUUUUCUAUAAAGGGAGGAGCAUCGUGUUCAGUGGGCGUGGUUACAGCAUGCACAGGUGUGUAUGUGCCCCUCCCUCCCCCGAGGGCUGCCAUGCGCGGAGGGGAUGUUGUUAGGCCGUUUCCAUGGUAACCACUUCCAGCUGAAGCUGCUGCUGUCACCAUCCGGUUUGAAGAAGUGAAUGAAGCAUCAGAACCGGGUCGGAUGUUUCGCGGAAUAAAAGCGGAACCACGAGCGCAUCUGGAGUCCAGCGCUGAAGGACGGAGUUCGGUGCUGUGCUGGUUCACCUGGACCCGCGCGGACCCGCAGCAGUUUGCGCUGGCGGUCGAGCUCCUGCUCGUACCGCAGGAUGGUCCUCUCGAACUCCGAGAAGAUCUCCUCCGCGGCGGCCGACAGCUUCUGGCUGAUCAGGUUUCUAAGGGAGCCGAGAGGGGACAUCUUUAGUCUGUUUGUUUGGACGGAACCGGACCGGACCCAGACCUAAUGCUGCUGCGCUUCUUCUAGGAAUAUGUGGACACCAGAUUUACAGAGCUCGGUGCUUUACCGCCACCUGCUGGUCAGGAGGGAGAUGGACCGGCUCUUUUUGGUUUUUUAUUCAAUAAUUUUAUUUAAAAAAUGAAUACAAGCAGAAUACAGUUUGGAAAAAUCCUAUUUAAUAGGAAAUGUAGUAUAGCAACUAUUUUUAAAACACAAAAAUGAAUAAAAGCUGUUAUAGUUUAUUAA
This is a long non-coding RNA of Oryzias melastigma (Indian medaka), 830 nucleotides long. RefSeq lists it as uncharacterized. The transcript has 2 exons. The record is from RefSeq and is a predicted model, not a curated record. Lineage: Eukaryota; Metazoa; Chordata; Actinopteri; Beloniformes; Adrianichthyidae.